This 993-nucleotide ribosomal RNA is filed under the name uncultured bacterium. RNAcentral describes it as "bacterial SSU rRNA". It matches the Rfam family "Bacterial small subunit ribosomal RNA", at positions 10 to 1005 of the family's 1533-position model. The record is from RNAcentral.
AGUUUGAUCCUGGCUCAGGACGAACGCUGGCGGCGUGCUUAACACAUGCAAGUCGAACGGAGCACCCCUGAAAGAGUUUUCGGACAAUGGAAGGGAAUGCUUAGUGGCGGACUGGUGAGUAACGCGUGAGGAACCUGCCUUCCAGAGGGGGACAACAGUUGGAAACGACUGCUAAUACCGCAUGAUGUGUUUCGAUGGCAUCAUCGAGACACCAAAGAUUUAUCGCUGGAAGAUGGCCUCGCGUCUGAUUAGCUAGUAGGCGGGGUAACGGCCCACCUAGGCGACGAUCAGUAGCCGGACUGAGAGGUUGACCGGCCACAUUGGGACUGAGAUACGGCCCAGACUCCUACGGGAGGCAGCAGUGGGGAAUAUUGGGCAAUGGGCGCAAGCCUGACCCAGCAACGCCGCGUGAAGGAAGAAGGCUUUCGGGUUGUAAACUUCUUUUAAGAGGGAAGAGCAGAAGACGGUACCUCUUGAAUAAGCCACGGCUAACUACGUGCCAGCAGCCGCGGUAAUACGUAGGUGGCAAGCGUUGUCCGGAUUUACUGGGUGUAAAGGGCGUGCAGCCGGGAAGACAAGUCAGAUGUGAAAUCCCGCGGCUCAACCGCGGAACUGCAUUUGAAACUGUUUUUCUUGAGUACCGGAGAGGUCAUCGGAAUUCCUUGUGUAGCGGUGAAAUGCGUAGAUAUAAGGAAGAACACCAGUGGCGAAGGCGGAUGACUGGACGGCAACUGACGGUGAGGCGCGAAAGCGUGGGGAGCAAUACAGGAUUAGAUACCCUGGUAGUCCACGCUGUAAACGAUCAAUACUAGGUUGCGGGGACUGACCCCUGCGUGCCGCAGUUAACACAAUAAGUAUUGCACCUGGGGAGUACGAUCGCAAGGUGAAACUCAAAGGAAUUGACGGGGCCCGCACAAGCGGUGGAUUAUGUGGUUUAAUUCGAAGCAACGCGAAGCCCUUACCAGGGCUUGACAGGGGGCGGCCGGUGUAGAG